UUCUUUCAGUAACACAAAUCAAAUAAACCUUUAACUUGCAGUGAGCACAACACAUGCUUCGACUGGAUUACUAUUCAGCUAUUAUUCUUUUUAACUUUUAAAAUUAACAGCUGAAUAUAUCACUGAUGUGGAAUUCAUCACAAAUUAGACAGUUAAUUCUGAUAAUUUGGGAGUUUACGUAUCUGAAUAAAUGACUCAGAUAUUCAGUUCCUUUGAAUUAUUCACAGUACAAUUGAACUCGGAUAAAAUUAACUGAAACAGCAGUUCGGGAAUCAAAAACAAACAGUUCAAAAACAAACAAAUUUCAAUCAGUCAGAUCAACAGAAAAGUCACCAAUAUUGAAAUAUCUAGGUAAUUAUUAAUCGAAUGGGGCCCAUUAAUGUUGGUGCACUUCAGUAUCUCAACUUCUCGCAACAGUAAAUAGAUUCAGAUCCGAAACACUUUACUCACAAAUCCUUGCGAUCAUCACCCAGCAAUGCAAUGACUUUUCUGUCGGCAGAACCUGUGCAAAAUUCCCUUUAUAAAACCCAGUCAGCCUAGUUUUACUAUGCAUUACGUCAUCUGCAUAUCAUUUCCACGCAUAUUCCUAUCCACGAGACACCAUGUUUAACGGUACAAGACAUUAGGAAAAUAUGGCUGCAUCCGAAAACCUAGGCAGCUGACUUGUUUCCUCUCUGCCCUAUCAGGCAAUGACUGUAAGGCAGCGUUUGUGCAUGAAGGCACCUCUCGAAACUGAUUUCAGACAGACUUCUGAGGCAGUGUAACAGUUUAAUGAUCUACCGCAGCGUGAGCUUUAGUGAGAACUAAACAAAUAUUUAAUUACUACAGUAAUUUCUCGCUAGAAAUGACAUCAAAUGUGGAACACACAAACUGAUCAGCAAAUGCAACUUUCGGAUGCCAUCUGUAUUUUUCCAGCUCAACUGACAUAGAAUGGACGCACAGGAUUGUGGGAUAUCAAAGGCAGCGAAGGACACAUCUAUGCUGCCUUCAAAAAUCCAUCAGAUGAAGGUAUGUCAGGAAACAGGAAGUGACGCUAACAUUGGAUUCGGUCAUGCCUUGAUGCCUUCCUACCUUGAAAUGUGUCCUCAGAAGGCAGCAUUUUCCAGUUUUCGGACGCAGCCUAUGACUAUAAAUGCCAUCACAGUGCAUUGCUAAAACUCAUUCACUAUUCUUGAAGUGAUGUCACCUCCCUCUCUUCGAUUGAUUGGCUAGAGGAGGAGCUGUCAAUCUAGAAGUAGUGGACCAAUGGUGAUGCUGAAGCCUGCCCUAAUUUACAUGAAACUCGAACUGCAGAAUGUGGAAAGAAGAGCAAAGACAAAAACAGCAUAAGUGUACAAAAGAGUAAAAUAUGAGCAGAAAAUGUAAGAGAGCACAAAGUACAGAGUCAGGGUAUCCGCGGGGCAUUAAAAAGCAUUAAAAGUCAUUAAAUGGAUUUUGCGAAAAUUAAGGCCUUAAAUGGCAUUAAAAAGCAUUACAUUUUAUUUCUACAGGCAUUAAAUUUUUUGAUAGUUUUGAAGAAAAAUAAUACUACCAGUUUAUUUUGAAUAAAGCCUAAAUAAUUAAUAACUUUGAUUUGCUGUCGUAAAAUAUGUACAUUGGUGUGAUAUGCACACGGAACCAGUUUCCUAAUUGCCUCCGGCCGGUGCAAAAUUGCCGUAACGCCAGUUUGGACAGCGGCGCACUGGGACCUGGAGACAGAAGGCUGCAUCAGUGUUGCCAACUUAGCACCUUUUCAGACCCCUUUUGCGACUUUUUUCUAAGAAAGCGCGUUGUGACGAAUAUAGCUAUUUGUUAACCUGAUCUAGCUUUCGAGACCCCUACUACUGCACGAGCGCGAGAUCUUGCUUUCCUGCCGCUGCCGCACCUCUCUGGUUCAGCAGCGCAUUCAGUUGAGGAUGUGCGCUCUGUCAGAGAACAAAUAAAAUAGAUACUAUUACUUCUAACCUGAGUGAUCAUUUUACGUGUACAAAGUCACAGCAAAUGUCUUUAUCUUAUGUGUAUGGUGAUUUUGUCAGACAACUUCUCGAUUAUAAAUCAGGAUUUUAGUGCUGGUUUAACAUGUCAGAGCUCGAACUUUACUUUCCCGACCGGACAAGGUCCUGAUUAAAACGUCAAUACCAAAAAAAAAAAAAAAAAAAAAAAAAAAACAGCAACUUGGGAAUCACCAAAACGCGAGUAUGACUGAUUUUAUUACAUUUAGUGUAAGUAGCGAUCGAUAGUGGAUAAUAAUAGUCUGUACAAUGUACUGACGAUAACAAGGUUGAGCUGUUGAGGCUCGCAGCAUCUUAAGGAGAAAUGAAAACAUGAGCGAAGCGCACACAAAAAGAAACUCAGUUAAACACACUGCGGUAAAAAUUCAAAAUGUAGAGUUUUUAUAACUUGAUACAGGUAAGCACCAAGAAUGCUGUUUUCCUAAAUAGGCUACCAUCACGAUUAAAAACGUGACACUGAUUUCAUACAACAUUUCAAUUAACAAGUAGUUAAUAUUAAGCCACUUACAUUUUAGAAGGAAUAUUGACUGUUUUUGUUCUAUUUUAUCAGCGAAAAUAGUUUCAAACAAAGAUCACAGCACUCAGACUUGUUUUCAUUACUGAAUGAUUCAGCGUUUUGAACGAAUCGGCCAUUUGAAUGAAUCGUUUGAAUGAAUGAAUCAAUGACCCACUCAUUAAGACGGUUACUUGCCGCCACCUACUGGUGGUUUAGUUUCAUUUUUAAAAGCAUCAUUUCCCCCCCAACAUUUCAUAUGUAUUUUCAAACAAUAUUUAAAACAAUCCCAUAACAUUAUUUAAUGCAGUUGUAAUCAAUCAAAAAUAUGCAGAUUUACAUAUGUCAAAGCUGCAAUAUUCUGAAAAGAUAUUGCUUCAGAAUUUAUAUUUCCACCACAAAAAAAAAAAAAAAAUUUCCGGAGAAGCAACUGUUUUACUCGUACAAGUGAAUGACCGAUUUACGCGUGUCCACAUGACAAGGCUUAAUGUCGAGCCCUGCAUGUAGUCUUAAUAGGCCGCAUUUCAGUCACCAUUUCAUAUUGUCUGACAACAAAACAGAAAAAUAUAUAGAUGAAACAAUUUUAUUGGGAAUUUGGCUGUAUUAAAAUAUAUUAUGUGAGCAAAAGGGUAGCAGCAGAGAAGCAAACAAAUGUAAAGGGCUGACACUUGACAGAAUGUGAAUACAACAAUUACAUGAUGAAUUUUUUAUUGCCCUAUGACGUCAUCUAUCGACAUUUAGCGGCAUAUAUAUGGCAUUAAAAAAUUUAAAAAUUGGCAUUAAAAAGCAUUAAAUUAGAUUUGAUGAAACCUGUAGAAACCCUGAGAGUAAUAGAAGCAAGAAAAACAACUUUUAAGAACAUAAACACAAGUUUAAGAUUUGUGUUUAAAGUUUUGAUUCAUGCUUGUUAUUUUUUUAAAUGCGCUUUUAAUUUUUCGAUUCACACGUAUUAUAUUUUUAUCCGUGACUACGUUCUUUGCCAUUUUGCAUUAUUUGUUUCAGUUUGUGCAGUAUAUUUUUACAUGUGUUUUUAAAUUUUUUAAUUCAAGCUUAUUAUUUUUUGAUCUGAGACCGCAAUACUUUAGGCGGGAAUCUAACCCCAUACAACGGUACUUGUAAAACAUAAAACAUAAUAGCAGAUAAUCCGUGGCAUCCUUAGCUGUUCACGAUGAUAACUUUAAAACCCACUGAUUACAAACCGUAUUUAAAAUGAACUUACUUGAUAGUUUAUCAUCGAAAUUGUUGUUUUAAUGAUUGUUUAUCGCCCAUUCAUCCUGUGAUUACUAAAGUGUUCCUACAAACACCAGUUAUAAUAUAAGAAAGCUGGCAUGGACUAACAACUUUGUAACACUGCAAACUGCACACUUCAUUAACAACCUUUAAUCAUAAGAAAAUGCCAUCAGAUAAAAAACGACUUUACUUACUCGUUGAGUCUGGUUUUCAUCCUACAUGCUGAAAUCUCUUCGCUGUUCAGAUUGAUCUGAAUAAACAGGGUAUGUGCAACUUUGGUGUAUAAGACAGCAGGCUAACCGGUGUGAUGUUUCAUUAACGUGUGUGCUUUAUUAACAUCAAAGCUUUUGACUGAACACACAAGCAAAAUGUGACUACUCAUCAAACUAGGGCAGAUCGAUAUGAAGUAUCAAUAUAUCGAUACUGACGUUGAGUAUUUAAAGUAUCGAUACUCAAAUUAAAAUAUCGAUACUAAGGUGUUUUUUUUUUUUUUUUUUUUACCAGUUUUUGUUUAUUUAACAAUAAAUUUAAUGCAUACAAUAUACACUGAAUUGGAAAAAUAACCUAUGUUAGCGAAUAAUUUGUAGCAGAAGUAUUUUCCUGCUCAUCUGAACACGCAAAUACUGCAAGUCAGAACCAAUCAAUCACAGAGAGUGUUCGCUCACUGCCGACAAUACAUUCAAACAGGGCUGCGUUUAGCAUCGUAAGAAAGUAUCGAAACGCAGCCCAGAACAAUGCUUAACAGCAGACAGAAAAAUAUAAUAUUAUUAUUAUUAGUUAUUUCACAAUAAACAAAAUGAAAUAGUAGCCUACAUACUUUGUGCAAUUACAUUUAUUUACAUUGAAGGUUAAAAGUUCAUAUUGAUGUUCUGUCAGAAUACAAAUGUUGCAUUGAAUGGGUGCAACAGCCUGUCACUGGCAGUCCCUUAUGAAAAUGAACCAUUACUAAAGUGACCAUAGUUCAGCUAGGCAUAUAGUAGGCUUAUUUGUAGAUUUGGUUUACCAAGUAAACAUUUUAACUAUGUGUAAACAAAAAUAUAAUCUAAUAAACUGCAAUUAAGGCAUAUUGAAUGUUAAAAUGCCUUUCAAAUAUAAUGUUACGUGGGUAUCAUAACCCAUUUUACUCUUAGUAAUUCAAUAAUUGAAUAAAUGUUAAAAUCUAUAAAUUCAUAUUAGAGGUAUCGUAUCGGUAUCGAUAUCGGCGAUAUUGGCCUUGAAAAUAUCAGUAUCGUAUCGAAAACAAAAUAAGUGGUAUCGCCCAUCCCUACAUCAAACCCUGGCAGAGCAGACUGUCUUGUUUCAAUUCCUUUAACACUGCAACUCAACUCUUUUCAAGCACUUGGUCGCCACCUAAUGGAUAAGGGACAUAUUACUAAUAACAACAUUAAACUGUUUGUUUUAUAUCAGAACCGGGUAGGCGUAUUUUGUGUGAAUGAUAUAAAUCAUAAAGUGAUUUUGUAGAAAUUGUAAUCAGGUGCUAAAAAAAGAGUACCCAUUAACAUGUCUUUACAGACCCGAUCAGGUACAACAAUGCACAGUACAAGCGCAGAAUUGAGCUUCUUGAGUCUGUUCAGUAAGGAGCGUUUUGAUUGGUGGAUUAAAAGCUCACCGCGAUUGGCUAAACAGAACAUCCUCCAAAAAAAGAUAUUUAUGAAUCUUAACGUGCCAGGAAGGUCUCAAAAAUACCUCACACAUAUUCAAAGCAGUCCACGCACGUGUGACGGUUUGCAAAUGCAGGUGGUUUUUGGGGCUGUUGAUGGCUUUUCGAGGAAGAUCUUUUACCUGGAUGUUGCUGGAAAUAACAAAGCCAGAACAGCUUUUGGGUUUUUCAUGGAUGGAGUGAAAAAAAAAAAGGAUGGCAAUCAAGGUAUGCAGAUUAUACAGAAUGAUUCUCACAAAUCUUUCACAAAAUGGUCCCACUGAUAGUAAAGGCCUUAUGACUACA
This is a long non-coding RNA of Ctenopharyngodon idella (grass carp), 5659 nucleotides long. RefSeq lists it as uncharacterized. NCBI's taxonomy places the organism in Eukaryota, Metazoa, Chordata, Actinopteri, Cypriniformes, Xenocyprididae. The record is from RefSeq and is a predicted model, not a curated record. The transcript is spliced from 3 exons.